This 233-nucleotide ribosomal RNA is filed under the name uncultured bacterium. RNAcentral's name for it is "partial 16S ribosomal RNA". It matches the Rfam family "Bacterial small subunit ribosomal RNA", at positions 794 to 1022 of the family's 1533-position model. The record is from RNAcentral.
UCCACGCAGUAAACGGUGAUCACUAGGUGUUGGGGGUUAUUGAUACCUUCAGUGCCGCAGCUAACGCAUUAAGUGAUCCGCCUGGGGAGUACGGUCGCAAGAUUAAAACCUCAAAGGAAUUGACGGGGGCCCGCACAAGCGGUGGAGCAUGUGGUUUAAUUCGACGCAACGCGAAGAACCUUACCUAGGUUUGACAUCCGCGGAAUUUUGUGGAAACACGAAAGUGCCCCUUU